AGAGUUUGAUUAUGGCUCAGGAUGAACGCUGGCGGCGUGCCUAACACAUGCAAGUCGAGCGAUUACUUCGGUAAAGAGCGGCGGACGGGUGAGUAACGCGUGGGUAACCUGCCUCAUACACAUGGAUAACAUACCGAAAGGUAUGCUAAUACAGGAUAAUAUAAGAGAUUCACAUGGAUUUCUUAUCAAAGCUCCGGCAGUAUGAGAUGGACCCGCGUCUGAUUAGCUAGUUGGUAAGGUAAUGGCUUACCAAGGCGACGAUCAGUAGCCGACCUGAGAGGGUGAUCGGCCACAUUGGAACUGAGACACGGUCCAAACUCCUACGGGAGGCAGCAGUGGGGAAUAUUGCACAAUGGGCGAAAGCCUGAUGCCAGCAACGCCGCGUGAGUGAUGAAGGCCUUCGGGUCGUAAAACUCUGUCCUCAAGGAAGAUAAUGACGGUACUUGAGGAGGAAGCCCCGGCUAACUACGUGCCAGCCGCUGC
Molecule: ribosomal RNA, 483 nt
Filed under: uncultured bacterium
Lineage: Bacteria
Description: bacterial SSU rRNA
Rfam family: Bacterial small subunit ribosomal RNA
Source: RNAcentral